Molecule: ribosomal RNA, 465 nt
Filed under: Vreelandella stevensii
Lineage: Bacteria; Pseudomonadati; Pseudomonadota; Gammaproteobacteria; Oceanospirillales; Halomonadaceae
Description: partial 16S ribosomal RNA
Rfam family: Bacterial small subunit ribosomal RNA
Source: RNAcentral
CCUACGGGUGGCAGCAGUGGGGAAUAUUGGACAAUGGGCGAAAGCCUGAUCCAGCCAUGCCGCGUGUGUGAAGAAGGCCUUCGGGUUGUAAAGCACUUUCAGUGGGGAAGAAAGCCUUGGGGCUAAUACCCUCGAGGAAGGACAUCACCCACAGAAGAAGCACCGGCUAACUCCGUGCCAGCAGCCGCGGUAAUACGGAGGGUGCGAGCGUUAAUCGGAAUUACUGGGCGUAAAGCGCGCGUAGGCGGUCUGAUAAGCCGGUUGUGAAAGCCCCGGGCUCAACCUGGGAACGGCAUCCGGAACUGUCAGGCUAGAGUGCAGGAGAGGAAGGUAGAAUUCCCGGUGUAGCGGUGAAAUGCGUAGAGAUCGGGAGGAAUACCAGUGGCGAAGGCGGCCUUCUGGACUGACACUGACGCUGAGGUGCGAAAGCGUGGGUAGCAAUCAGGAUUAGAUACCCGAGUAGUC